GGACACGCCCCUUUGAGCUGCGUGCUACAGCGAGGCUAAGCUAGUGGGGGAAAAGUUUCAGUGCAUUCCGUUGAUGUAGACGGCGUGAAAACGGAAACAACAAGUAUGCCGGCUCACUGUGCUGCAUACAAUUACACACUGCGUAGUACGAUUGAGACAAGGAAACUUGGAAUGACUUUUCAUAGGUUUCCCAGAGACUAUGGGUUGAGGAGGAAUUGGAAGUUUGUCGGCUUAGACCUGGUGUCAUUCCAUCAGUGUUAAACUUCCCGGCUCAUCUUGGAAGAGUACGUGCCAGAAAGACCACGACCAAGCAGCCUUGAGAUCUUAGGCAGCGUCUCCCUCAGGUCCCUCUCUAUCUCCCCACACAUCCACCAACCACUGGAACACAUCUCCAAAGUUCUGCCGGGCCAGCUCAGCUUCCCCUCAGAAGAAGUGCCGCCACCUGCCAGAUGAAGGAACCUUUUGAGAGGCAGCUGGCAUCGUGAUUGGACUGUACUUUGGUCUGUUCCAAUCCAGCUUCAGCUCCAGAAACGGCAGGCGGGAUGAGUCAACGGAGGCCUGGUGGACGAAGGCAUGCAGCUGAGUACAAUCCAGAAAACAACAGAGGAGGAGUGCAGCAGCCCAUGGCCAGAAUAAACAGAGAAGCAUCGUAUGUCUCUUAGAAAACAUCAUAGUAGAGCCUUUGGUAUGAAAAAACACCAUCAUAUACAUCGUAUAUUGUACAAAUAACAAGUCAAAGCAAAGAGACAUACAUUGUAGAAUUGUAGUAAUUGUGGACUGACUGAUUUACUGAUUAUCAGUAUUUUAUUUUUUACUGAUUUACGGUAAUAAAUACAUUUAAAAAUGGCGCUACUUUGGCUCUGAACCUUUAUCUACCUGUGGUCGCUCUGUCUUCUGGAGUGAUUUGAUUGGUUAUACAUCACAAAUAAAACUCCUUUAACUUAACAUCUGUAAACAAAACAAAAAC
This is a long non-coding RNA of Amphiprion ocellaris (clown anemonefish), 967 nucleotides long. NCBI's taxonomy places the organism in Eukaryota, Metazoa, Chordata, Actinopteri, Pomacentridae. The record is from Ensembl.